Molecule: ribosomal RNA, 1000 nt
Filed under: Vibrio vulnificus
Lineage: Bacteria; Pseudomonadati; Pseudomonadota; Gammaproteobacteria; Vibrionales; Vibrionaceae
Description: bacterial SSU rRNA
Rfam family: Bacterial small subunit ribosomal RNA
Source: RNAcentral
AUUAGCGGCAUCAUUCGACGUUAGCAACAGAAGAAGCACCGGUCAACUCCGUGCCAGCAGCCGCGGUAAUACGGAAGGUGCGAGCGUUAAUCGGAAUUACUGGCGUAAAGCGCAUGCAGGUGGUUGUUAAGUCAGAUGUGAAAGCCCGGGGCUCAACCUCGGAACUGCAUUUGAAACUGGCAGACUAGAGUACUGUAGAGGGGGGUAGAAUUUCAGGUGUAGCGGUGAAAUGCGUAGAGAUCUGAAGGAAUACCGGUGGCGAAGGCGGCCCCCUGGACAGAUACUGACACUCAGAUGCGAAAGCGUGGGGAGCAAACAGGAUUAGAUACCCCUGGUAGUACACGCUGUAAACGAUGUCUACUUGGAGGUUGUGGCCUUGAGCCGUGGCUUUCGGAGCUAACGCGUUAAGUAGACCGCCUGGGGAGUACGGUCGCAAGAUUAAAACUCAAAUGAAUUGACGGGGGCCCGCACAAGCGGUGGAGCAUGUGGUUUAAUUCGAUGCAACGCGAAGAACCUUACCUACUCUUGACAUCCAGAGAAGCCAGCGGAGACGCAGGUGUGCCUUCGGGAACUCUGAGACAGGUGCUGCAUGGCUGUCGUCAGCUCGUGUUGUGAAAUGUUGGGUUAAGUCCCGCAACGAGCGCAACCCUUAUCCUUGUUUGCCAGCGAGUAAUGUCGGGAACUCCAGGGAGACUGCCGGUGAUAAACCUGAGGAAGGUGGGGACGACGUCAAGUCAUCAUGGCCCUUACGAGUAGGGCUACACACGUGCUACAAUGGCGCAUACAGAGGGCGGCCAACUUGCGAAAGUGAGCGAAUCCCAAAAAGUGCGUCGUAGUCCGGAUUGGAGUCUGCAACUCGACUCCAUGAAGUCGGAAUCGCUAGUAAUCGUGGAUCAGAAUGCCACGGUGAAUACGUUCCCGGGCCUUGUACACACCGCCCGUCACACCAUGGGAGUGGGCUGCAAAAGAAGUGGGUAGUUUAUACUUCGGGAGGAUGCUC